RNAcentral lists this transfer RNA (65 nucleotides) under Dipodomys ordii (Ord's kangaroo rat). It matches the Rfam family "tRNA". From Rfam's summary of the family: Transfer RNA (tRNA) molecules are approximately 80 nucleotides in length. Their secondary structure includes four short double-helical elements and three loops (D, anti-codon, and T loops). The record is from Rfam by way of RNAcentral. Lineage: Eukaryota; Metazoa; Chordata; Mammalia; Rodentia; Heteromyidae.
GGUGGCUCAAUGGUAGAGUGCUUGCCUAGCAUGCAUGAGACCCUGGGUUCCAUUCCUCAGCACCA